Molecule: unclassified non-coding RNA, 827 nt
Filed under: Hevea brasiliensis (rubber tree)
Lineage: Eukaryota; Viridiplantae; Streptophyta; Magnoliopsida; Malpighiales; Euphorbiaceae
Source: RNAcentral
GUGGCUAGCUGGAUUUUAUGGGUUUGGGGCAUUUUAGCAGAAGGCAUGCACUGAAUUGGUAGGUGCAGAUUAUCAAGGUUGCAGCAUAAUAGGGGAAAGACUAAUGGGUGGCAUAUUGAGUCGGAGUAACCACAACUCUAAUGUGGGGGAUCUUAUUGAGGGCUCCCAAAGUGCAUCAUGCAAGAGACAAAGGACAUCAGAUAGCUUCUGGGAGCAUAGCCCACGAUUAAUUCCAAGCCUGCCUGAUGAAAUAUCUAUUCAAAUCCUCGCCAGACUUCCUAGAACACACCACUUAAAUGCAAAAUUAGUUUCGGCGAGCUGGAAAGCUGCUAUUAUGAGUCCAGAACUUUAUAGGUGUAGAAAAGAACUUGGAACAACCGAAGAGUGGCUCUAUCUUUUGACAAAGACUGAAGGUGAUAAGUUUUUGUGGUAUGCUUUUGAUCCGAUCUCCAUGAGAUGGCAAAAGUUGCCACCAAUGCCGGCAAUUGCGGUCAAUGAUGAACCUAGAAGUGGUUUAUCUGGACUUCGGGCAUGGAACAUGGCAGGUUCAAGUAUGAGAAUUGCUGAUGCCAUAAGGGGUUGGCUUGGAAGGAAAAGUGCUCUGGAUCAAGUUCCAUUUUGUGGUUGUGCUAUUGGAGCUGUCGAUGGAUGCCUCUAUGCCCUUGGGGGAUUCUUCAGAGCUGCAGCCAUGAGAUCUGUCUGGCGAUAUGACCCCAUUGUAAAUGCUUGGAAUGAAGUAAGUCCUAUGUCUACUGCAAGAGCUUAUUGCAAGACAGGUGUCUUGAAUGGAAAGCUUUAUGUAGUAGGAGGUGUUACUCGGGAUCGUG